GUGGUUCAGUGGUUAAGAACACUGGCUGUUGCUCUUCCAGAGGACCUGGGUUCAAAUCCCAAC
This 63-nucleotide transfer RNA is filed under the name Mus musculus (house mouse). The record is from Rfam by way of RNAcentral. Lineage: Eukaryota; Metazoa; Chordata; Mammalia; Rodentia; Muridae.